RNAcentral lists this ribosomal RNA (119 nucleotides) under Olea europaea subsp. europaea. Lineage: Eukaryota; Viridiplantae; Streptophyta; Magnoliopsida; Lamiales; Oleaceae. The record is from RNAcentral.
GGGUGCGACCAUACCAGCACUAACACACCGGAUCCCAUCAGAACUCUGAACUUUAACGUGCUUUAGCGAGAGUAGUACUAGGAUGGGUGACCCCCUGGGAAGUUCUCGUGUAGUACCCC